UCGGGAAUAUUGCGCAAUGGAGGAAACUCUGACGCAGUGACGCCGCGUAUGGGAAGAAGGUUUUCGGAUUGUAAACCAUUGUCGUUAGGGAAGAAGAAGUGACAGUACCUAAGGAGGAAGCUCCGGCUAACUAUGUGCC
This 139-nucleotide ribosomal RNA is filed under the name uncultured bacterium. RNAcentral's name for it is "partial 16S ribosomal RNA". It matches the Rfam family "Bacterial small subunit ribosomal RNA", at positions 355 to 509 of the family's 1533-position model. The record is from RNAcentral.